UACGUAGGGGGCAAGCGUUAUCCGGAUUUACUGGGUGUAAAGGGAGCGUAGACGGCGAUGCAAGCCAGAUGUGAAAGCCCGCGGCUCAACUGCGGUAGUGCAUUUGGAACUGCAUGGCUGGAGUGCGGGAGGGGCAGGCGGAAUUCCUGGUGUAGCGGUGAAAUGCGUAGAUAUCAGGAGGAACACCGGCGGCGAAGGCGGCCUGCUGGACCGCGACUGACGUUGAGGCUCGAAAGCGUGGGGAGCGAACAGG
This 253-nucleotide ribosomal RNA is filed under the name uncultured Eubacteriales bacterium. RNAcentral's name for it is "uncultured Clostridiales bacterium partial 16S ribosomal RNA". It matches the Rfam family "Bacterial small subunit ribosomal RNA", at positions 524 to 776 of the family's 1533-position model. The record is from RNAcentral. Lineage: Bacteria; Bacillati; Bacillota; Clostridia; Eubacteriales.